ACGAGCUGGUGAUCUGAAUGCUAACCUGAGUUUCCAGCUACCUUUAACCCCUCCUUGUUUGUUACUGCUUCUGUGGCAUAGUCAUCUUCUAGAUGGCUUUGCCUGUCUUGUGGGGCAACAGCAUCUUAAUUACCCUAACGCUCGUUUUUUCUUUGAGACCUGGUCUUGUUUAUGUGUAUCUUGGCUGGCUUGUUACUUGAUAUGUAUGUAGCCCAGGCUGGCCUUGAACAGUUCUCCUGCCUCAGUAAGUGCUGUGAUUACAGGCAUCUACCAUCACACCUAUUUGUCUUUGUCUGGAUGAAUAUGUGUGUGUAAUGAUUUUCUUUUUUCUUUUUGAGACAGGGUUUCUCUGUGUAGCCAUGGCUUGCCUGGAACUUGCUCUAUAGACUAGGCUGGCCUUAAAGUCAAGAGAUCUGCCUCUCUCUGCUUCCUGAGUGCUGGAAUUAAAGGCAUAUGCUUGACCAAUAAAGAACGCUUGUUUUUGUUUUUGUUUUUUUUUUUGUUGUUUCUUUAGAUUUUCUUUCUUUCUUAAUUAUAUGUAUACAAAUGUUUGACUGCAUGUAUGUCUGUGCACCACUUGUAUGCAGUUCCCUUUGCAGGCCAGAGAGGGUUUUGGAUACCCUGGAACUGGAGUUACAGAUAGUUGUAAGAGACCAUGUGGUGCUGGGAACCAAACCCAGGUGCUCUCCCAAGAGCAUCAGGAACUCUUUACCUGCUAAGCCAUCGCUCCAUAUGUUUUAUUUUAUGUGUUUCAUUGUUUUGCCUGCGUGUAUGUAUGUACCAUGUGUGUGCCUAGUGCUUUUGAAGAGAAGGUUUUAUUGAGUAGACCAGAUUGCCUUCAAAAUCAUAAGUGGCCUGCUCUGCCUCCUAAGUACUGGGAUUAAAGGCAUGUGCCACCAUACCUGACUCUUACUUAUUUUGGCUUAAUUGUGAGUUUAUAAAUAUACCAGGCAUAGUAGUGCACACCUUUAAUCCCAGCAUUUGGGAGGCAAAGUCAGGUGCAAGGACAGCUAGAGCUUUACAGACCCAGUUUCCAGGGGGGAAAAAAAGAUGUUAAACCACCCACAUUAUAUUUAUUUCAAUCAUUGUGCAUGGGGGUGUGUAUGAUAUGUGUGUGUGUGUGUGUAUUUGCAUGUGCCAGGUGUAUGUGUGGAAGUUAGAGAACAACUUCUGAGAGUUGUUUUUUUUAAGAUUUAUUUAUUAUUAUAUGUAAGUUCACUGUACCUGUCUUCAGACACCAGAAGAGGGAAUCAGGUCUUAUUACCAAAUCCCC
RNAcentral lists this long non-coding RNA (1273 nucleotides) under Mus musculus (house mouse). RNAcentral's name for it is "long non-coding RNA chr4:41359875-41361148". Lineage: Eukaryota; Metazoa; Chordata; Mammalia; Rodentia; Muridae. The record is from RNAcentral.